Molecule: ribosomal RNA, 492 nt
Filed under: uncultured bacterium
Lineage: Bacteria
Description: bacterial SSU rRNA
Rfam family: Bacterial small subunit ribosomal RNA
Source: RNAcentral
AUUGAACGCUGGCGGCAUGCCUAACACAUGCAAGUCGAACGGAGGUAGGGGCAACUCUACUUCAGUGGCGGACGGGUGAGGAAUGCGUCGGAAUCUACCCUAUGGUGGGGGAUAACACAGGGAAACUUGUGCUAAUACCGCAUAAUGUCGAGAGACCAAAAGCAGGGGACCGCAAGGCCUUGCGCGAUAGGAUGAGCCGACGCCCGAUUAGCUAGUUGGUAGGGUAAAGGCCUACCAAGGCGACGAUCGGUAGCUGGUCUGAGAGGAUGAUCAGCCACACUGGGACUGAGACACGGCCCAGACCUCCUACGGGAGGCAGCAGUGGGGAAUAUUGGACAAUGGGCGCAAGCCUGAUCCAGCAAUGCCGCGUGUGAAGAAGGCCUGCGGGUUGUAAAGCACUUUUGUUCGGGAAGAAAUCAUGCUGGUUAAUACCUGGUAUGGAUGACGGUACCGAAAGAAUAAAGCACCGGCUAACUUCGUGCCAGCAGCCGA